Molecule: transfer RNA, 69 nt
Filed under: Hoplostethus japonicus (flintperch)
Lineage: Eukaryota; Metazoa; Chordata; Actinopteri; Trachichthyiformes; Trachichthyidae
Also listed under: 1 other name
Description: tRNA-Ala
Rfam family: tRNA
About the family: Transfer RNA (tRNA) molecules are approximately 80 nucleotides in length. Their secondary structure includes four short double-helical elements and three loops (D, anti-codon, and T loops).
Source: RNAcentral
AAGGCUUUAGCUUAAUUAAAGUAUCUGUUUUGCAUACAGGAGAUGUGGGAUAAAGUCCCGCAAGUCUUA